This 628-nucleotide ribosomal RNA is filed under the name Sympodiomycopsis sp. LM418. Its description in RNAcentral is "eukaryotic LSU rRNA". It matches the Rfam family "Eukaryotic large subunit ribosomal RNA", at positions 47 to 663 of the family's 3401-position model. Lineage: Eukaryota; Fungi; Basidiomycota; Exobasidiomycetes; Microstromatales. The record is from RNAcentral.
UAAGCGGAGGAAAAGAAACUAACAAGGAUUCCCCUAGUAACGGCGAGUGAAGCGGGAAGAGCUCAAAUUUGAAAGCUGGCGUCUUCGGCGUCCGCGUUGUAAUCUCGAGAAGUGUUUUCCGUGCUGGACCAUGUACAAGUUCCUUGGAAUAGGACGUCAUAGAGGGUGAAAAUCCCGUACUUGAUGUGGCCGCCCAGUGCUUUGUGAUACACUUUCCAUGAGUCGAGUUGUUUGGGAAUGCAGCUCAAAAUGGGUGGUAAAUUCCAUCUAAAGCUAAAUAUUGGGGAGAGACCGAUAGCGAACAAGUACCGUGAGGGAAAGAUGAAAAGCACUUUGGAAAGAGAGUUAAAUAGUACGUGAAAUUGUCGAAAGGGAAGCGCUUAAAGUUAGACAUGCUAGUCGGGAUUCAGCCUUGCUUUUGCUUGGUGCAUUUUCCGGUUGGCAGGCCAGCAUCAGUUUUGCCUGUCGGAUAAGGGUGGGAGGAAUGUGGCCCCUCGGGGUGUUAUAGCCUCUCACUGGAUACGGCGGGCGGGACUGAGGAACGCAGUGCGCCUUUAUGGCGGGCCUUCGGGCACCUUCGCACUUAGGAUGCUGGCGUAAUGGCUUUAAGCGACCCGUCUUGAACACG